Molecule: antisense RNA, 75 nt
Filed under: Streptomyces bingchenggensis BCW-1
Lineage: Bacteria; Bacillati; Actinomycetota; Actinomycetes; Kitasatosporales; Streptomycetaceae
Description: ASpks TB sRNA
Rfam family: ASpks TB sRNA
Source: Rfam by way of RNAcentral
CUUGAUGGAGCCCAGCAACAGCGGGUGAUGGCCUUCCCGGCCCCGCCCAUACGUUGCGAGCAGGGCCUGGGCCUC